RNAcentral lists this ribosomal RNA (465 nucleotides) under uncultured bacterium. Its description in RNAcentral is "partial 16S ribosomal RNA". It matches the Rfam family "Bacterial small subunit ribosomal RNA", at positions 339 to 795 of the family's 1533-position model. The record is from RNAcentral.
CUACGGGACGCUGCAGUGGGGAAUAUUGGACAAUGGGGGAAACCCUGAUCCAGCAAUGCCGCGUGUGUGAAGAAGGCCUGCGGGUUGUAAAGCACUUUCGGUUGGGAGGACUGCUUCUAGCACUAAUAUUGUUGGAAGUUGACGUUACCUUCAGAAGAAGCACCGGCUAACUCCGUGCCAGCAGCCGCGGUAAUACGGAGGGUGCAAGCGUUAAUCGGAAUUACUGGGCGCAAAGCGCGCGUAGGCGGCUAGAUCAGUCGGGUGUGAAAGCCCCGGGCUUAACCUGGGAACUGCAUCCGAUACUGUCUAGCUUGAGUACAGGAGAGGAGAGUGGAAUUCCACAUGUAGCGGUGAAAUGCGUAGAUAUGUGGAGGAACACCAAUGGCGAAGGCAGCUCUCUGGCCUGAUACUGACGCUGAGGUGCGAAAGCGUGGGGAGCAAUCAGGAUUAGAUACCCUGGUAGUC